UACAGAGGGGGCGAGCGUUAAUCGGAAUUACUGGGCGUAAAGCGUGCGCAGGCGGUCUGUUAAGACCGAUGUGAAAUCCCCGGGCUUAACCUGGGAACUGCAUUGGUGACUGGCAGGCUUUGAGUGUGGCAGAGGGAGGUAGAAUUCCACGUGUAGCAGUGAAAUGCGUAGAGAUGUGGAGGAAUACCGAUGGCGAAGGCAGCCUCCUGGGCCAACACUGACGCUCAUGCACGAAAGCGUGGGGAGCAAACAGG
RNAcentral lists this ribosomal RNA (254 nucleotides) under uncultured bacterium. RNAcentral describes it as "partial 16S ribosomal RNA". It matches the Rfam family "Bacterial small subunit ribosomal RNA", at positions 524 to 776 of the family's 1533-position model. The record is from RNAcentral.